RNAcentral lists this ribosomal RNA (572 nucleotides) under uncultured bacterium. Its description in RNAcentral is "bacterial SSU rRNA". It matches the Rfam family "Bacterial small subunit ribosomal RNA", at positions 222 to 796 of the family's 1533-position model. The record is from RNAcentral.
GGGAUGAGCUUGCGUCCGAUUAGCUAGUUGGCGGGCAACGGCCCACCAAGGCGACGAUCGGUAGCCGGCCUGAGAGGGCGAUCGGCCACAUUGGGACUGAGAUACGGCCCAGACUCUACGGGAGGCAGCAGUAGGGAAUAUUGCACAAUGGGGGGAACCCUGAUGCAGCAACGCCACGUGUGGGAAGAAGCAUUUCGGUGUGUAAACCACUGUCGUGAGGGAAUAAUGCUUGGUCUCGGCCAAGUUGAAUGUACCUCGAAAGGAAGCACCGGCAAACUUCGUGCCAGCAGCCGCGGUAAUACGAGGGGUGCAAGCGUUGUUCGGAAUCACUGGGCGUAAAGGGAGCGUAGGCGGAGGAGCAAGCAGUCUGUACAAUCCCGGGGCCUAACCCCGGCUCUGCAGACUGGACUGUUUCUCUUGGAUAGUUCAGGGGCAGGCGGAAUUCCUGGUGUAGCGGUGGAAUGCGUAGAGAUCAGGAAGAACACCGAUGGCGAAGGCAGCCUGCUGGGGACUCAUCGACGCUGAGGCUCGAAAGUGCGGGUAGCAAACAGGAUUAGAUACCCUGGUAGUCC